GAGGGUAUAGCUUAGUGACAGAGUACAUGCUUACUAUGCAUGAGGUCCUGGGUUCAAUCCUCAGUACCUCCA
RNAcentral lists this transfer RNA (72 nucleotides) under Camelus bactrianus (Bactrian camel). It matches the Rfam family "tRNA". From Rfam's summary of the family: Transfer RNA (tRNA) molecules are approximately 80 nucleotides in length. Their secondary structure includes four short double-helical elements and three loops (D, anti-codon, and T loops). Further hydrogen bonds mediate the characteristic L-shaped molecular structure. tRNAs have two regions of fundamental functional importance: the anti-codon, which is responsible for specific mRNA codon recognition, and the 3' end, to which the tRNAs corresponding amino acid is attached (by aminoacyl-tRNA synthetases). tRNAs cope with the degeneracy of the genetic code in two manners: having more than one tRNA (with a specific anti-codon) for a particular amino acid; and 'wobble' base-pairing, i.e. permitting non-standard base-pairing at the 3rd anti-codon position. The record is from Rfam by way of RNAcentral. Lineage: Eukaryota; Metazoa; Chordata; Mammalia; Artiodactyla; Camelidae. RNAcentral also lists the same sequence under 2 other names.